Molecule: ribosomal RNA, 214 nt
Filed under: uncultured bacterium
Lineage: Bacteria
Description: partial 16S ribosomal RNA
Rfam family: Bacterial small subunit ribosomal RNA
Source: RNAcentral
CCCAGUUCGGAUUGUAGUCUGNAACCCGACUACAUGAAGCUGGAAUCGCUAGUAAUCGCGAAUCAGAAUGUCGCGGUGAAUACGUUCCCGGGUCUUGUACACACCGCCCGUCACACCAUGGGAGUCGGAAAUGCCCGAAGUCAGUGACCCAACCGUAAGGAGGGAGCUGCCGAAGGUGGAGCCGGUAACUGGGGUGAAGUCGUAACAAGGUAUC